This is a long non-coding RNA of Homo sapiens (human), 3197 nucleotides long. Lineage: Eukaryota; Metazoa; Chordata; Mammalia; Primates; Hominidae. The record is from Ensembl.
GGGCUCCGAGCCCAGCUCCACUGGCCCCGGCCGCGGGGCUCGCCCCUCCGUCCCCAAACGACCGUCUCCGCUGCCAUGAGAUGCCGACAGCCUGUGCGCUGGCCGCCACCCCCUGCUCCAUCAGGUGCUGGAAUCUGAGUAAAAGCCUGGGCGCGAGCUCCCAGCCCCGGGGCCUGCCACCGGCUCCACGAAGCGGGCAGCUCCAGCGGCCGCCGGGAGAAGGAAGGGCGACCGGGGGAGACGGGUCGCAGGGACAGCACGUGGCGGAAAGUUAGCCCCGGACUAGCACGCCCCACCCGGAGAAGCCGGCCUGGAAGGGGCUGCGGACCACCAGGCGGAGCGGUGGGCGACCGAAGUGCGGCUGGGCUGGCCUCCUCGUCUCCGCACUGGAAGAAUUGCCCUUCCGCAAGUCUUCCCUUCCCACAUGGGGGCCCUCCAGGCCGCACCUCGGUCGCCCACCGCUUCCCUUGAGAAGGGAGACUAAAGACAGGCAUCUGGAAGCUGUCACUGUGGCGCGCGGGCAGACAGGGGAUCCCAUUGGAGAGGAAGAGCCGUAGUAGUCGCUGCUGCCUUCGGCCGACCCAACGGCCGCCUGCUUGGGAGGAAGAAAAAGAACGCCCCCGCUGAAGAAUUAAGGCAGCCAUUGGUUGCUCUAGGGGUAAGGACCGAGGCCUCCCCUGGGUGUCACUGGAGCAGCCACACGUGGGGGAUCAGCCGACUUCAUUCGAUCGCUGGCGACAGACCCGGCGACCCGUAGGAAUGCGCGCUGGGGCUGCGGCUGGAGGGCGUGGCGACGGCAACAGGCGGGUGGCUCGAGUGGGUGCGACUCUGGGCGCGUGGGACUGAGAACUCCUCCGCCGUGGGGAAGAUUUUUUUCCCAGCAGAUGUUGGGGUGUUACUGCGUGUCUGAGGGGCCGGCGGAAUGGAGGGGUCCCGGUGCGUGCAGGGCAGCGAGGUGUGUCAGAUGAGCUGUGGAUCCCUGCGGCCCCACGUGGGCCGGAGAGGGGGGCCCACGACAACAAGCGAUUGAGGACAGCGAUGGACAGGGCGGGGAACCAGCUGGGUGGAAGCACAGGGAGUGUGGUGAGGAGGGAAGGGCUGUGAUCUGCCCUCGGUACGACGCCCCAAGGGACAGCCUGGCCUCCUGAAUUAGGGAAAAGACAACCGGUCUCUUUAGACGGGCGCCUCAGAGUCUGACCUGAGUCUUCAAACGCCCAGAUCCCCUGGGGCCUUGAGUCUCCCUGUCCCGCUGGCCCUGCCUCGCCUGCGCUUCAGGACUCCGACGCCCCCGCAGCCUUGGGCUAAGGGUCAGUCGUCCCCGGGCGCGGGUCCGGCUGCCCUGGAACUGAUGCUGGAUUUCGCUGGUAGGUGGGCUAGGGGCUUGGUCACCCCGUCUGAAUUCCACUGUCAGGACAGCUGUGGAACCGCCAGAGAAAAGUCUGGCCAUGAAAGAAAGGUGAGGGGCGCCGACGCAGAGCUUAUUUAUUCAGUCUGUGGGCGGACUCAGACGUGCAGAGCACCAACCUCUUCAAUUUCUGCCCUCUAGACUCCAAAUCUUUUGAAAUUAGGGACCACCAUUUUAUGCCAAACAUACAGUAGGCGCUCAAUAAGUGUUGAAUUAAGAUUACACAUAAAUGGGCCGGGCGCGGUGGCUCACGCCUGUAAUCCCAGCACCUUGGGAGGCUGAGGUGGGCCAACAUGGUGAAACCUUGGCUCUAAAAAAAUGCAAAAAUUAGCCAGGCAUGGUGGCGCUUGCCUGUAGUCCCAGCUACUAUAGAGGCUGAGGUGGGAGAGUCGCUUGAACUCUGGAGGCGGAGGUUGCAGUGAGCCGAGAUCGCGCCACUACACUCCAGUCUGGGUGACGCAGUGAGACCCUGUCUCAAAAAAUAUAUAAUAAUAAGAUUACACACAGAUGGGUGCUGUGCAAAGGGAGGGGGAAGACAAAUACUUUCUUCUGCAGCUCUGGUACAUGGACAUUUUGUCCUUUCUCCAUAAGGAGGAUCAGACAGCAGCAGCACUGCCCAUGGACCAGAGGCCUCAUGUAAGGCCUGGGAAAAGAGGGCUCCACACACCACCAACCGGAUGUAAGGGCAGUUGCAAAGGAACUGUGUUAUCUUGACCAGAACAGACUGUAGAAUUUGUUUAUCAAAUUUUUUUUUUUUACUUAUUUAUUUUGUGAAUGUAUAUGCUGUAAACUCAUCUGCUUAGAUUGUAAGAAUGUGAAUGCCCUACCUUGGUGGGUAGGUUAGUUUAUUCUAAUCAGCAAAACUUAACGUUACAUAUUCCAACAUCUCAUUUGGGAUGUGAAGAUGCUAUGGGGAGGGUGGGUAUCCUGGCAUUGCUAGAAUGUUGGAGCCUUAGCGAGAGAGUGGCAGAGUGGGGAGAACCUGGCACUUCAGCUACAGAUGAUCACUUAUGAGCUUUGUUAUAUCAAAUAAGUUAAACUUUCAUCUCAUUUUUUUUUUUUCUAUUGUAAAAUAGGGUAGUAACAGUGAGUCCUGGGGGAGGACGUGUUCUGUUAGCCAGAUCCACUCUCCAACCUGCUGUCUGUCCUUUGGAGCCUUAACUCAAGAGACUUUCUUUCCCUCUAGCUUCCAGUUGAGUGAAGGCACUAGGAAGCAACAGCGAUGGAACAAAGAGGAAGGAGUAUGGUUAUUUAUUCCCCCCUGGCUCCCUUACUAUGGCACCAUUGCAGGCUGGUUGCCUCCCUCAACCAAAGGAAGCAGCCAGUAUCCCUCCCUAGGGUGACCCAGAGUAAACCCCUAUGGUUUCCCUUCAUUUUGCACAUACCUUUGCAGAUAGUCUUUUUAUAAAACUCUACUCACAUUAUCCAGUAGGAAUGAACAUCUCAUUCCUUCACAGAAUUGUUUUGAGAGUUAACUGAGAAAAUACUGUAUUAUUAUUAUUAGAAUGACCUAUAAUUUCUGUCCAAACUGAGAAACUUUUGAGGCUGGGAAAAGGGGGUUUGUGCUGAUAGUAAUGAUGUCAGGACAAUAGGAAAAACAAGGACUUAUGGCCACCCCAGCUAUUAUUGCCAGUAAACUCUGCUUUAGACAUAUUAAGCAAUCAAGAAGUGGUCGUACUAUCACGCUUCUGUCACUAGACUAUGAAUGUCUCAAGGUAAGAGUGCUUUUUUGUCUAUUAGCUUCUGUCACAUGGUCUGGUAUAUUCAAUAAAUUUUGAGUUGGAGAUGAGGG